RNAcentral lists this ribosomal RNA (908 nucleotides) under uncultured bacterium. RNAcentral's name for it is "bacterial SSU rRNA". It matches the Rfam family "Bacterial small subunit ribosomal RNA", at positions 28 to 917 of the family's 1533-position model. The record is from RNAcentral.
GAUGAACGCUGGCGGCGUGCCUAAUACAUGCAAGUCGAGCGAACGGACGAGAAGCUUGCUUCUCUGAUGUUAGCGGCGGACGGGUGAGUAACACGUGGAUAACCUACCUAUAAGACUGGGAUAACUUCGGGAAACCGGAGCUAAUACCGGAUAAUAUUUUGAACCGCAUGGUUCAAAAGUGAAAGACGGUCUUGCUGUCACUUAUAGAUGGAUCCGCGCUGCAUUAGCUAGUUGGUAAGGUAACGGCUUACCAAGGCAACGAUGCAUAGCCGACCUGAGAGGGUGAUCGGCCACACUGGAACUGAGACACGGUCCAGACUCCUACGGGAGGCAGCAGUAGGGAAUCUUCCGCAAUGGGCGAAAGCCUGACGGAGCAACGCCGCGUGAGUGAUGAAGGUCUUCGGAUCGUAAAACUCUGUUAUUAGGGAAGAACAUAUGUGUAAGUAACUGUGCACAUCUUGACGGUACCUAAUCAGAAAGCCACGGCUAACUACGUGCCAGCAGCCGCGGUAAUACGUAGGUGGCAAGCGUUAUCCGGAAUUAUUGGGCGUAAAGCGCGCGUAGGCGGUUUUUUAAGUCUGAUGUGAAAGCCCACGGCUCAACCGUGGAGGGUCAUUGGAAACUGGAAAACUUGAGUGCAGAAGAGGAAAGUGGAAUUCCAUGUGUAGCGGUGAAAUGCGCAGAGAUAUGGAGGAACACCAGUGGCGAAGGCGACUUUCUGGUCUGUAACUGACGCUGAUGUGCGAAAGCGUGGGGAUCAAACAGGAUUAGAUACCCUGGUAGUCCACGCCGUAAACGAUGAGUGCUAAGUGUUAGGGGGUUUCCGCCCCUUAGUGCUGCAGCUAACGCAUUAAGCACUCCGCCUGGGGAGUACGACCGCAAGGUUGAAACUCAAAGGAAUUGACGGC